UACGAAGGGGGCUAGCGUUGCUCGGAAUCACUGGGCGUAAAGGGUGCGUAGGCGGAUAUGUAAGUCCGUGGUGAAAUCUCUGGGCUUAACCCGGAAACUGCCAUGGAUACUAUGUGUCUUGAAUGUUGUUGAGGUGAGCGGAAUAUGUCAUGUAGCGGUGAAAUGCUUAGAUAUGACAUAGAACACCAAUUGCGAAGGCAGCUCACUAAGCAAAUAUUGACGCUGAGGCACGAAAGCGUGGGGAUCAAACAGG
Molecule: ribosomal RNA, 253 nt
Filed under: uncultured bacterium
Lineage: Bacteria
Description: partial 16S ribosomal RNA
Rfam family: Bacterial small subunit ribosomal RNA
Source: RNAcentral